This 392-nucleotide ribosomal RNA is filed under the name uncultured bacterium. RNAcentral describes it as "partial 16S ribosomal RNA". It matches the Rfam family "Bacterial small subunit ribosomal RNA", at positions 523 to 918 of the family's 1533-position model. The record is from RNAcentral.
AUACGGAGGAUCCGAGCGUUAUCCGGAUUUAUUGGGUUUAAAGGGUGCGCAGGCGGCCAUUUAAGUCAGCGGUUAAAUCGUGGGGCUCAACCCCAUUCUGCCGUUGAUACUGGGUGGCUUGAUUGCGGUCGAGGUUGGCGGAAUUCGUUGUGUAGCGGUGAAAUGCAUAGAUAUGACGAAGAACACCGAUUGCGUAGGCAGCUGACCGGACCGCAAAUGACGCUCAUGCACGAAAGUGCGGGGAUCGAACAGGAUUAGAUACCCUGGUAGUCCGCACAGUAAACGAUGAAUACUUGUUUUCGGCGAUAUAAUGUCGGAGGCAAAGCGAAAGCGAUAAGUAUUCCACCUGGGGAGUACGCCGGCAACGGUGAAACUCAAAGGAAUUGACGGGG